AGCGAACGCUGGCGGCAGGCCUAACACAUGCAAGUCGAACGAACCUUUCGGGGUUAGUGGCGGACGGGUGAGUAACACGUGGGAACGUGCCUUUAGGUUCGGAAUAACUCAGGGAAACUUGUGCUAAUACCGAAUGUGCCCUUCGGGGGAAAGAUUUAUCGCCUUUAGAGCGGCCCGCGUCUGAUUAGCUAGUUGGUUGAGGUAAUGGCUCACCAAGGCGACGAUCAGUAGCUGGUCUGAGAGGAUGAUCAGCCACAUUGGGACUGAGACACGGCCCAAACUCCUACGGGAGGCAGCAGUGGGGAAUCUUGCGCAAUGGCGAAAGCCUGACGCAGCCAUGCCGCGUGAAUGAUGAAGGUCUUAGGAUUGUAAAAUUCUUUCACCGGGGACGAUAAUGACGGUACCCGGAGAAGAAGCCCCGGCUAACUUCGUG
RNAcentral lists this ribosomal RNA (433 nucleotides) under uncultured bacterium. RNAcentral's name for it is "partial 16S ribosomal RNA". It matches the Rfam family "Bacterial small subunit ribosomal RNA", at positions 29 to 507 of the family's 1533-position model. The record is from RNAcentral.